Molecule: long non-coding RNA, 4445 nt
Organism: Paramormyrops kingsleyae
Lineage: Eukaryota; Metazoa; Chordata; Actinopteri; Osteoglossiformes; Mormyridae
Source: RefSeq, a predicted model, not a curated record
AGUCGAAUGGAGCGUCUGGUCCCAAAAUCAUUCGGAGAUAAACCGCCCAUGUUCAAAGUUUGAAAUAAUCCAAACGUUAAAACAUAAUUCAUCUGGUUACCUGCCGGUAGCAAAUAUCGCCAGUUGAACGCCACGUACGGGUUGGCUGAGUCAGGACGUGUUCUGCUGCUGUGAGUACAUCCUAAGUCUAAUCGUGAAGGGAAACACGCCAGAUUCAAGGCAGAGUGUGUAAUGGAAGAGCAUCAUCUUAAACAGCAUGAGCCGCAAAAGAGGAGGAAGCUACAGAGGGCAGGGAAGCUGUGGAAAGAAAGAAGGGAGGAGCCAUGUCCUGAGGUCUGAUGAGACCAAGAUAAACUUAGGUGAGGAGGACAAGGACAAGUGUGUCUUGCCUACAGUCAAGCAUGGUGGUGGGAGUGGGAGCGUCAUGGUUUGGGGCUGCAUGACUGCUGCUGGCACUGGGGAGCUACAGUGCAUUGUGGGAAGUUCUGGGAACCAUGAAUGCCAACAUGUACUGUGACAUACUGAAGCAGCGCAUGACCCCCCUCCCUUCGGAAACUGGGCCGCAGGGCAGAAUUCCGACACGAUAACGACCCCAAACACACCUCCAAGACGACCACUGCCGUGCUAAAGAAGCUGAGGGUAAAGGUGCUGGACUGGCCAAGCCUAUUGAGCACCUGUGGGGCCUCUAACGGAAGGUGGAGGAGUGCAAGGACUCUAACAUCCACCAGCUCCGUGAUGUCGUCAUGGAGGAGUGGAAGAGGAUUCCAGUGGCAACCUGGCACAAGAGAGUUAAGGCAGUGCUGGAAAAUAAUGGUGGCUACACAAAAUAUUGACACUCUGGGCACAAUUUGGACAUUUUCGCUUAGGGGUGUACUCACUUUUGUGAGAUACUGUGUAUGUAUAUAUGUGUGUGUGUGUGUGUGUGUGUGUAAGGAUGAUUUAGGUUUUGGCCUAUAAUGGAGAAGGGUUUCUCCUUUCAUGGUUAUUAUCUAGCUGCUAGUGUUGUUUUUUUUCCUCUAGAAUACAUUCUCAGUUCUGCCACAACUUCCCCACACCUUCAACCCCCUUCUGGUUCAGCACACAUACACACAGACACACACAGACACACACACAUUUUAAAGUUCAUAUAUUUGUUGGAACUCUCCAUUCAUUUCUUUGGGCAUAACCCUAAUCACAACAUGACGACCUUAACCCCUACCCAGUCCUAACUUUAACCGUAAGUGACCCAACAAAGUACAAGACUUUUGGCAUCUUUAGUUUUUUGUUUGAAUUGACAGAUUGUUUAUGAAAAUGAGUUUACUCUUGUGGGGACCGAAAAAAAUGUCCCUACAAUGUCAAAAUAACAGGUUUUUAUCACAUUAUGGGGACAUUUGGUCCCCAGAAUGUAAUAUGUACAUUACCACACACACAUACACACCUUUCACUGCUUUGAGAGAUUAACCUUCACCACACCUCUUCUGUCCUCCACCCUCUCUGUGUGUGUCCGCUCAUCAGCCAAUUACAGAGCUCCGGCAGUUUUAGGCCAUAUAUGGUCAGUGUGGUCUGUUAAGGAGGAUGGGCCGUGAGACAUGUGCAAAUGGAACAACACUUUUGUUAUUGUUCCAGUGUACAAUUCUAAGCCUUCCCCCGUGUUAAGACCAUUUCUCCAUCCCCAUUCUGGUCACACUCACAAUCACCCAUGAGAGCCUGUAUUACCAUACACCAGACCUGCAUUAACCUACACAUGGCAAUUGCAGUGGGCAAGUUUGCAUAUCUGCAGAAGUGGCCUUCAGGAGGUCAAUCUUGAACUGAAUUUGCAGGAGCAGCUGUAUUAAGUGCAGGAGAAGACCUUGAGCUGAAUGCACAGUACAGUUCAUAGAAAAGUGACCUGUGACCCCGAAUCUAGGAGUCUUUCAUGCAUGUAGUGAAUUUGGGUGUUGUUCAGACCACGGAACUUUGCACUGGGAAGUGCUGCCACUAUGAAGGGUGACGAAAUAAUGCCAAAUUGUGCUUGGUCAAACACAGGUUGUUAUGCAAGUGUUCAAUGAGAUUUAUAUGUAUAUGACUUCCGGAAAGCCUGGCCCAAGCAAUAUCUUCAGAACUGUUCAGACCUGCAAGAUCUAGUGGUAUCACACAACUGCACCCUGCUGCCUUUGUGUGGCACUCGAUGAUUACGUCAGUAAACUUCAUGGCAAAGGAGUUAUCUAUAGUUAAGGGUAUAGAUAAUUCACUGGGGUUUCGAGGCAUUGGGUGCUCAGAAUCUAAAUUCUGUAAUACACAGAAGUAUUUAUAAUAUUUACCACCAAUUGCACAUUGUAGCCUUGCUGUUUUUAUGAACGUUUGUUCCCUCGUUUAUGAAGCAGCUUCAGCUGAACUGAGCAGGUCAAGGGACUUUCUUCAGCUUUGUGGCAGUCGAUGUGACUCCACACCCUUUAGCGUCAGUGCAAACUCUGAAGUCCUUGCGUGUCCUUCAGCAUCUCAGCACCUCAUUCAUCACCCUGCACCUUUCAAAAUAUCAACCACAAAACCCAGCACACCGAUGAAAGUAUGCAAACCCUUCAAAGAUCCAGACUCAAAGACCAUUUGUAUACUUGAGUCUUGCAGACAAUGUUUUGCUUUUUGACCAUGUUACACACUUCAAAGUUCACAGGAGAGCACAGUACUUAUGUUUGACGUCUGUCUAUAGCAAGUUGCUGGCUAGAUUCUCCCGUGAGAAAGGACCCAUUUUUUCCCUAUGAAAUAUUCAGGUCCCCCCAGCUUGCUAAAAGCCAACAUGCCAUUUUAUUUACUGUGUAUUUACCUGGGACGUUUUCACAUACAAAUGUGACCAUGCUUUAUAGUUAAAAUAUUGCAAGAUUCUGCUUCUUGGUGCUGUAGAGCAUGAUGUUGAGAUUAAAUUUUAUUGACCUUUUUCUGUUUGAUGAUACCAAUGCAGGAACCAAGCCCUGCACCCAUGCUAUUAUCUUUUGAGACCAACAGUCUCAGUGACUACCCAUAAACUGCAAUAAUGCAAAAUGCUCUUCAUAUAAAAGUAUUUAUUAUGUGCCAAACACGCCCAGUCAAAGCAGAUGAGCUCCAAGGCAGAGCUUUUUUUUGUUUUUUCUUCAGGAUGCAAACGAUUUUGUGGUGCACGCAAACCGGGCACCAGACCUUCCACGGCUUUACAGCUUUAUAUGGUCUGUUGGGAGACGUAUCCCAGCAUGCCAUGCUGCUCAGCUGUCAAACCAUGCUGUGAAAUGAAUACCUGUGAAUGGACUGCUAACGCUUUGAGCAUCCAUUUGGAACAGCACUGUGUAGAAGCAUCCAUGCCGCCUGGCGGACUUCCAGCAGUGUUUUGUACUUGCAUUUCUGUGCCCGCAGUAAGGAUCAUGAAAAUGCACAGUGAGAUGAUGGGAAAACUGGCAGUGUGUUAACAUUUGGUGAGCUUUUGACGAUUUUGUACAAAAUUAUUACUUGGUCCAAGACCAUAGUUCUGGCGUUUUCAUGAGUCAUAAAACUGCAAGCUUUUUGUUACCAGUACUGUUCUAAGCCACACUGUUGUAUUACUGAGAGUUUUGAAUGAUCACUGAAGAGUCUGUAUCACUCCACGCCCAUCUGCAAGAUCACAGGAGCUGGUAGGCAAACAUCAGAUGGAAGCCUGUUAUCUGUUUUACAUCACAGGCUGCUUCAGGAGGUCAACCUAAUGGUCGCUCCACGUCGGGGGCGUGGGGACUGAGGGGGGCACUGCUGUGACAACUGUCAGCCUCCAGAAUAGCACCAUGAGAACCUCCUCUCCCAUAUUAAAUUUUGCAGAGUGGGGGAGUAUUGGCAGAGGGGUUGGUUUUUGUUCCUUUUUCCAAAAGGGGGGGAACAGCAUUCACGUGCUUCCCAUUACAGCCCAAGCACUGGUUGUGUUUCCCAAACGCAGUUUACCCAUCCACCUGACCUGAGCUGUUGCACUGUAUAGGGGGUGAGGGAGCUGUAUUAAGGGGUGAAUCUUCCUCCUUCCUGAUUUGCCAAAUAAUGUAGAGUUCAUACAUUGUAUGGAAAUAUAAAAGACAAUUACAUACAUAGUAAUGACAGACAAAAUGAACUGCAAGAUAAGCUUCUCCAGUCAGGUAUUGAUGGGUAUAAAAAUAGGAGACCUUUUACCUUCCCUGCCAUUAAGUGUCUUCACUAAUAAAAGAAAUGAUUAAAAAAUUGUGUGGUACAUGGAUGGGUACCCCAAGAUUUCGAAAGGAAAUACCAGUGUAAUACCACCCAAUCCAAUACAGUAGUUCUACUAAUGCAUGCAUUUUUAGUUUGUAAAUGUGAAACUAAUUUCUUCAGGUACAAACGCACAUUGCAAAUGUGUGGUAACAGGUCUAAGCAGGGUAAAACACUCCAAGCCGCACCUUAUAUCUUUAAAUGCCCUCCGCUUUGCAUUGGGCAGUUCUUUGCCUCUGCAACUGUGCAAUUAAAAUAUUUUGACAACCCAGCAUGGGGUG